CCCCCAUGGCUGCUUGGUGAAAUGACAGCCCCGCUCUGCUGGGAGCCGGGGAAGAGGAAGGAGCUGGGGCAGGGAGUCCAGCUUGGGAGCCCUGUGAGCCCCUCUAGGAGCCUGGCCCUGGCUGGAGAGAGCAGCACUGGGUUGAAACCCACUUAAUUCAUGGCGGCACAGGAUUGCCAUCUGUGCUAAACUCCAGCAAAAAGCAGACGCAGGCUUUCCUUCCUGGCUCCGCAGCCCGGGGCCGGAAUCAGCUACGCCCACUGCACCGAGAUCAGCUUUGAAAAGUCCCCAUUGCAGACGUGCGGCAAAGGCUGGGGGAAGCUGGAAGCUUUGCUAAGGCCGCUCUGCUGUGAUCAGCCUGGCCUGGGGCGCCCUGAGGGAUUCCUGAGCUGCCUCCUGCACCCCUCCCCGUCCUCCAGGAUGAGGCCCUCACUCAGGCACGCCUGGCGCCUGGAGGCGUAGGGCCUGG
Molecule: long non-coding RNA, 469 nt
Filed under: Homo sapiens (human)
Lineage: Eukaryota; Metazoa; Chordata; Mammalia; Primates; Hominidae
Description: HSALNT0235212
Source: RNAcentral